RNAcentral lists this ribosomal RNA (497 nucleotides) under uncultured bacterium. Its description in RNAcentral is "partial 16S ribosomal RNA". It matches the Rfam family "Bacterial small subunit ribosomal RNA", at positions 28 to 507 of the family's 1533-position model. The record is from RNAcentral.
GAUGAACGCUGGCGGCGUGCCUAAUACAUGCCAGUCGAGCGAACGGACGAGAAGCUUGCUUCUCUGAUGUUAGCGGCGGACGGGUGAGUAACACGUGGAUAACCUACCUAUAAGACUGGGAUAACUUCGGGAAACCGGAGCUAAUACCGGAUAAUAUUUUGAACCGCAUGGUUCAAAAGUGAAAGACGGUCUUGCUGUCACUUAUAGAUGGAUCCGCGCUGCAUUAGCUAGUUGGUAAGGUAACGGCUUACCAAGGCAACGAUGCAUAGCCGACCUGAGAGGGUGAUCGGCCACACUGGAACUGAGACACGGUCCAGACUCCUACGGGAGGCAGCAGUAGGGAAUCUUCCGCAAUGGGCGAAAGCCUGACGGAGCAACGCCGCGUGAGUGAUAAAGGUCUUCGGAUCGUAAAACUCUGUUAUUAGGGAAGAACAUAUGUGUAAGUAACUGUGCACAUCUUGACGGUACCUAAUCAGAAAGCCACGGCUAACUACGUG